CGGUUGAACGGACUCACCAGGAAACGUGACUUUCGUGUCCGACCUCUGCUGUAUCAGGAUUCGAUUCUCGGUGUUAAACAAGACAACGCUGAAGGCUCGGUGCAGCAGCCCUGCAAAGGAGUGGAGCCCCAACCCACGCAGGGCGUGUCUUCAUGGCUUUUCCUGGCCAAUCUGAUACCAAGAUGCAGUGGCAGAAGUACCUGCACUUCCACUCCUGUCAAGUCUCUGCAUGGCUAUGGUGAGGAAGAGCUCUGCACUGGGCAAGGAAGUUGGCUGUCGAGUGAAGGAAAUGGUGAUGCUGGUGGCCCCUUUCCUGCAGUCAAGUUCCCUAUCAAGGACAUUCAGUUCUCGGAAAGUGGUGAAGGCACACGCUUCCCUGCAUGGUGCCCGCCUCUCUCCACUCUCUAGAAAUAUUAGAGGCUAGGCUGCUGCUGUAUGUCAGGGCUAGUCCCUCUUCUAUGAAUCCAGAAUAACUCUGAAGAAGCCGAGUAACAGGCAUGAAGUGAAGAGAAAUCGCUGUAACAGGAAGACAGCAAAGCAGAUGCUAAUGACGACACUAUUUAACGAACUGGAACCAACGAGAAAAUACGGUAUUAUUGAAGACUGCACUUCCUUGAACAGAGUGCUCUUCUCAGCAAAUCGGAAAUGCCUACACAAAUCGCUUUACAAGAAGGACUGUUUCAAAGCAGCACCUUUCUCAAUGUUCUCGUUCAGGUGACAGUUCUUCUUGGUCUCAGCUCCAAUUUUAUUGUCAUUUUCAUCAAUAAGGAUACACUUCUCUGCCAGGAGUUGAACCUGUUGCUUGUCGAGGUGGUUAGUGUUUAUUUCAGGCAUCAUUACAAAAUGUCUGAUCUGUUCUAGAACACUAAUAUUAAAGGAAAAGAGAAAGAAAGGC
Molecule: non-coding RNA, 895 nt
Filed under: Pan troglodytes (chimpanzee)
Lineage: Eukaryota; Metazoa; Chordata; Mammalia; Primates; Hominidae
Source: RNAcentral